RNAcentral lists this ribosomal RNA (413 nucleotides) under uncultured bacterium. RNAcentral describes it as "bacterial SSU rRNA". It matches the Rfam family "Bacterial small subunit ribosomal RNA", at positions 505 to 916 of the family's 1533-position model. The record is from RNAcentral.
GUGCCAGCAGCCGCGGUAAUACGGAGGGUGCAAGCGUUGUUCGGGAUUACUGGGCGUAAAGAGCGUGUAGGCGGCUUGGUCAGUCGGAUGUGAAAUCCCGGGGCCCAACCCCGGAACUGCAUCCGAUACUGCCUGGCUUGAGUCUCGGAGAGGAAGGCGGAAUUCCGGGUGUAGAGGUGAAAUUCGUAGAUAUCCGGAGGAACACCAGCGGCGAAGGCGGCCUUCUGGACGAUGACUGACGCUGAGACGCGAAAGCGUGGGUAGCAAACAGGAUUAGAUACCCUGGUAGUCCACGCCGUAAACGUUGAGUGCUGGACGUCGGAGGUAUUGACCCCUUCGGUGUCGGAGCUAACGCGUUAAGCACUCCGCCUGGGGAGUACGGCCGCAAGGCUAAAACUCAAAGAAAUUGACGG